GACGAACGCUGGCGGCGUGCUUAACACAUGCAAGUCGAACGGACAGACAGAGAGCUUGCUCUCUUGAAGUUAGUGGCGAACGGGUGAGUAACGCGUAAUCAACCUGCCCUUCAGAGGGGGAUAACAACGGGAACCCGUUGCUAAUACCGCGUACGAUUGAUGAACGGCAGCGGUUAUGAAUGAAAGGUGGCCUCUCUGUAUCAGCUAUCGCGGAAGGAGGGUGUGGCGUCUGAUUAGCUAGGUGGAGGGGUAACGGCCCACCAAGGCAAUGAUCAGUAGCCGGUCUGAGAGGAUGAACGGCCACAUUGGGACUGAGACACGGCCCAAACUCCUACGGGAGGCAGCAGUGGGGAAUCUUCCGCAAUGGACGAAAGUCUGACGGAGCAACGCCGCGUGAGUGAUGAAGGUCUUCGGAUUGUAAAGCUCUGUUAAUCGGGACGAAAGAGUUCUGCGUGAAUAAUGCAGAAAAGUGACGGUACCGGAAUAGAAAGCCACGGCUAACAACGUGCCAGCCGCCGCAGUAA
RNAcentral lists this ribosomal RNA (524 nucleotides) under uncultured bacterium. RNAcentral describes it as "partial 16S ribosomal RNA". It matches the Rfam family "Bacterial small subunit ribosomal RNA", at positions 28 to 523 of the family's 1533-position model. The record is from RNAcentral.